GCCCUGGUAGCUCAAUUGGUUAGAGCGUCGGACUUUUACCAUCUAUUGUUGACCGGUCUGCAAUCCGAAGGCUGCGGGUUCGACCCCCGCCUGGGGCG
Molecule: transfer RNA, 98 nt
Filed under: Xylaria venustula
Lineage: Eukaryota; Fungi; Ascomycota; Sordariomycetes; Xylariales; Xylariaceae
Description: tRNA-Lys
Rfam family: tRNA
About the family: Transfer RNA (tRNA) molecules are approximately 80 nucleotides in length. Their secondary structure includes four short double-helical elements and three loops (D, anti-codon, and T loops). Further hydrogen bonds mediate the characteristic L-shaped molecular structure. tRNAs have two regions of fundamental functional importance: the anti-codon, which is responsible for specific mRNA codon recognition, and the 3' end, to which the tRNAs corresponding amino acid is attached (by aminoacyl-tRNA synthetases). tRNAs cope with the degeneracy of the genetic code in two manners: having more than one tRNA (with a specific anti-codon) for a particular amino acid; and 'wobble' base-pairing, i.e. permitting non-standard base-pairing at the 3rd anti-codon position.
Source: RNAcentral